Molecule: ribosomal RNA, 675 nt
Filed under: Francolinus lathami
Lineage: Eukaryota; Metazoa; Chordata; Aves; Galliformes; Phasianidae
Description: Peliperdix lathami partial 12S ribosomal RNA
Source: RNAcentral
UCAUACAAGAAACCCGAAUCAAUAGCCUUCGGCGUAAAGAGUGGCCACAUGCUAUCUGCACCAACUAAGAUCAAAAUGCAACUAAGCUGUCAUAAGCCUAAGAUUCACCUAAACCCAACCCAAAAUCAUCUUAGCCCUAACGAUCAAUUUCAACCCACGAAAGCUAGGGCCCAAACUGGGAUUAGAUACCCCACUAUGCCUAGCCCUAAAUCCAGAUAUUCCCCACACCCCUGUAUCCGCCCGAGAAUACGAGCAUAAACGCUUAAAACUCUAAGGACUUGGCGGUGCCCCAAACCCACCUAGAGGAGCCUGUUCUAUAACCGAUAAUCCACGAUUCACCCAACCACCCCUUGCCAACACAGCCUACAUACCGCCGUCGCCAGCCCACCUCUAAUGAAAGCACAAUAGUGAGCUCAACAGCCCUCCCGCUAGUAAGACAGGUCAAGGUAUAGCCCAUGGGGUGGAAGAAAUGGGCUACAUUUUCUAACAUAGAACAAACGAAAAAGAACGUGAAACUCGUCCUUAGAAGGAGGAUUUAGCAGUAAAGUAAGACCAUACCUUCUUAAGCUUACUUUAAGAUGGCCCUGAGGCACGUACAUACCGCCCGUCACCCUCUUCACAAGCCACCAACACAAUAAAUAAUACCCACCCUGGCCAAGACGAGCAGUCGUACAA